Molecule: long non-coding RNA, 206 nt
Organism: Coccinella septempunctata (seven-spotted ladybird)
Lineage: Eukaryota; Metazoa; Arthropoda; Insecta; Coleoptera; Coccinellidae
Exons: 3
Source: RefSeq, a predicted model, not a curated record
AUUUCCAACAAAUUGAAUAGCAGACCAUUUCCAUGGGAAACACAGGAGGAAGACAAACGUCAUCCAUGACUGGUAAUCCAAUAUUACCCAGUGUGGGGCAUAUGAAAAAACUGCUAAAUGGGAUACUAAAUAAUUUAUGCAGCUAAGGAGAGCGGGCGUCUGAGGAUAUUUCUUGUACACCAUCCUCGAGGAAAGAGGGAUCCGGA